Molecule: small nucleolar RNA, 135 nt
Organism: Juglans microcarpa x Juglans regia
Lineage: Eukaryota; Viridiplantae; Streptophyta; Magnoliopsida; Fagales; Juglandaceae
Product: small nucleolar RNA snoR111
Exons: 1
Source: RefSeq, a predicted model, not a curated record
AACAGAAAAGGGGAGACAGCUCUGUGUCUCCUGCGUUCGGAAGAACAUUUGAGGUAUAGCAAAAAAUCAAUGGUCAAGAUAUCGUUUCGGUCAUCAUCUUUUUUUAUUGGCGAUUCGAUUGUUGCUCGUCCACAU